Canis lupus familiaris (dog) is the source of this 372-nucleotide long non-coding RNA. RefSeq lists it as uncharacterized. The record is from RefSeq and is a predicted model, not a curated record. Lineage: Eukaryota; Metazoa; Chordata; Mammalia; Carnivora; Canidae. The transcript has 3 exons.
CAUAGGUGAAAUUCAAAAUGGGCUCUUGAUGUGGAGUGUCAAGCUGGUCUCGGAUAUAGGACCCCCUUCAACUGGUGGUUGACUGACUAUUACUUUUCAGAAGAAGGUAGAAGGUCUUGAGUACUGAUAUUGCCCUCUGAAGAGACUGCACCCUUAAUACUUCAAGGAACAUUUCAAGAAAGUAUCUACAUAUUUUUACCAAUAUCCUGUAUUAUAAAACUUUGAUUUUUGUCCACUGAGAGGGAAUGGUGUAAUGCUUCUUGAAUAGGACCUGGUUUAUGCCACUGUGAGUCAUUCAUGUUACUGGAAAAACUGACUGACCGCCGGACAUUACUGGCACAUUUCCCAUAAUUCUCCAUGGAACUGAGGGCA